This 205-nucleotide small RNA is filed under the name Beauveria tenella. The record is from RNAcentral. Lineage: Eukaryota; Fungi; Ascomycota; Sordariomycetes; Hypocreales; Cordycipitaceae.
AUUUCAACCCUCGACCUCCCUUUGGGGAAGUCGGCGUUGGGGACCGGCAGCACACCGCCGGCCCUGAAAUGGAGUGGCGGCCCGUCCGCGGCGACCUCUGCGUAGUAAACCAACUCGCACCGGAACCCCGACGUGGCCACGUCGUAAAACACCCAACUUCUGAACGUUGACCUCGAAUCAGGUAGGACUACCCUUGUGAACUUAA